AAUUGAAGAGUUUGAUCAUGGCUCAGAUUGAACGCUGGCGGCAGGCCUAACACAUGCAAGUCGAACGGUAACAGAAAGCAGCUUGCUGCUUUGCUGACGAGUGGCGGACGGGUGAGUAAUGUCUGGGAAACUGCCUGAUGGAGGGGGAUAACUACUGGAAACGGUAGCUAAUACCGCAUAACGUCGCAAGACCAAAGAGGGGGACCUUAGGGCCUCUUGCCAUCGGAUGUGCCCAGAUGGGAUUAGCUAGUAGGUGGGGUAACGGCUCACCUAGGCGACGAUCCCUAGCUGGUCUGAGAGGAUGACCAGCCACACUGGAACUGAGAGACGGUCCAGACUCCUACGGGAGGCAGCAGUGGGGAAUAUUGCACAAUGGGCGCAAGCCUGAUGCAGCCAUGCCGCGUGUAUGAAGAAGGCCUUCGGGUUGUAAAGUACUUUCAGCGGGGAGGAAGGGAGUAAAGUUAAUACCUUUGCUCAUUGACGUUACCCGCAGAAGAAGCACCGGCUAACUCCGUGCCAGCAGCCGCGGUAAUACGGAGGGUGCAAGCGUUAAUCGGAAUUACUGGGCGUAAAGCGCACGCAGGCGGUUUGUUAAGUCAGAUGUGAAAUCCCCGGGCUCAACCUGGGAACUGCAUCUGAUACUGGCAAGCUUGAGUCUCGUAGAGGGGGGUAGAAUUCCAGGUGUAGCGGUGAAAUGCGUAGAGAUCUGGAGGAAUACCGGUGGCGAAGGCGGCCCCCUGGACGAAGACUGACGCUCAGGUGCGAAAGCGUGGGGAGCAAACAGGAUUAGAUACCCUGGUAGUCCACGCCGUAAACGAUGUCGACUUGGAGGUUGUGCCCUUGAGGCGUGGCUUCCGGAGCUAACGCGUUAAGUCGACCGCCUGGGGAGUACGGCCGCAAGGUUAAAACUCAAAUGAAUUGACGGGGGCCCGCACAAGCGGUGGAGCAUGUGGUUUAAUUCGAUGCAACGCGAAGAACCUUACCUGGUCUUGACAUCCACGGAAGUUUUCAGAGAUGAGAAUGUGCCUUCGGGAACCGUGAGACAGGUGCUGCAUGGCUGUCGUCAGCUCGUGUUGUGAAAUGUUGGGUUAAGUCCCGCAACGAGCGCAACCCUUAUCCUUUGUUGCCAGCGGUCCGGCCGGGAACUCAAAGGAGACUGCCAGUGAUAAACUGGAGGAAGGUGGGGAUGACGUCAAGUCAUCAUGGCCCUUACGACCAGGGCUACACACGUGCUACAAUGGCGCAUACAAAGAGAAGCGACCUCGCGAGAGCAAGCGGACCUCAUAAAGUGCGUCGUAGUCCGGAUUGGAGUCUGCAACUCGACUCCAUGAAGUCGGAAUCGCUAGUAAUCGUGGAUCAGAAUGCCACGGUGAAUACGUUCCCGGGCCUUGUACACACCGCCCGUCACACCAUGGGAGUGGGUUGCAAAAGAAGUAGGUAGCUUAACCUUCGGGAGGGCGCUUACCACUUUGUGAUUCAUGACUGGGGUGAAGUCGUAACAAGGUAACCGUAGGGGAACCUGCGGUUGGA
Molecule: ribosomal RNA, 1530 nt
Filed under: Escherichia coli
Lineage: Bacteria; Pseudomonadati; Pseudomonadota; Gammaproteobacteria; Enterobacterales; Enterobacteriaceae
Description: bacterial SSU rRNA
Rfam family: Bacterial small subunit ribosomal RNA
Source: RNAcentral